This is an RNA transcript of Silurus meridionalis, 2047 nucleotides long. It is a transcript of the gene named beta-carotene oxygenase 1, like, with no coding region annotated. The transcript has 13 exons. The record is from RefSeq and is a predicted model, not a curated record. NCBI's taxonomy places the organism in Eukaryota, Metazoa, Chordata, Actinopteri, Siluriformes, Siluridae.
CCCGCCUCGGGCACACAUCAGCGUGAGAUCCCAGAAAAACAAUGAAAUGUAAUGGAAAAAGUAGCUGGGAAGCAUUUUGGGCAUACUUGUUGAAAAGUUUCCACCCCUGCCUAUACACAUACCAGUACACACCUAAAUAUAUGUAUUGCCUUGGAGCUAGUAAGGAAAUAAGCAGGGUCAGUGACCUGCCUAUUUUAGGUAAUAAGGGUCAAAGUUGCAAGAUAAAUGAAGAUAUAUAUCUGCACCGGCAAACCUCAGUAGUAUCAGCUCUCACCAUGGAAGCAAUAUUCUGCAGAAGUGGCAAAGAGACACCAGAACCGAUCAAAGCAGAAGUGUCAGGUACAAUCCCACUGUGGCUUCAGGGGACACUUCUACGCAAUGGACCCGGCCUUUUCUCCUUUGGGAAUACAUCUUAUAAACACUGGUUCGAUGGAAUGUCUCUUAUUCACAGUUUCACUUUUAAGCAGGGUGAUGUAUAUUACAGAAGCAAAUUUCUCAGGAGUGAUACUUACAAGAAAAACAUUGCUGCCAACAGGAUUGUGGUGUCAGAAUUUGGCACACUAGCCUACCCUGACCCAUGCAAAAAUAUAUUCUCAAAGGCCUUUACCUACUUGCUGAACAUCAUUCCAGAUUUCACAGACAAUAAUCUUGUGAACAUUAUAAAAUACGGAGAAGAUUACUACGCAUCAUCAGAAAUAAACUACAUCAACCAAGUCAACCCAGAGACUCUUGACACAAUAGGAAGGGUCAAUUACAGAAACCAUAUAGCCUUGAACUUGGCAACAGCACACCCUCAUUAUGAUGAUGAAGGAAAUACCUAUAACAUGGGCACUGCCAUUAUGGCACUGAGCGGACCCAAAUAUGUCAUCUUCAUGGUGCCUGCUCCCAGACCAGAUCUAAAGAACAUGAGAAAAAAAAAUCUGGCACUGAAGAAUCUGCAGCAGGUUUGCUCAAUUCCGUUCCGCUCAAAACUCUACCCAAGCUACUUUCACAGCUUUGGGAUGACAGAAAAUUACAUCAUCUUCAUUGAGCAGCCCUUCAAGCUGGACAUCUUGCGUCUCUCCACAGCUUACUUCAGAGGAGUCACUUGGGGCAGGUGCCUCAAUUAUGACAAAAAUGAUGUUACUCUGAUCCACAUAAUCAACAGGCAUACAGGGUUGGCAGUGGACACUAAGUUCUAUGGGGAUGCGUUCAUAGUUUUUCACCACAUCAACGCCUACGAGGAGGAUGGACAUGUAGUAAUCGACCUGAUCUCGUAUCAAGACAACAGUCUCUAUGACAUUUUCUACACUGAUUUCAUGCAGCAGGACAUGGAGAAAUUGGCAGAGAUAAGUAAGGAUAUUUCUCCACCAGUUUCUCAGCGUUUCGUCGUCCCGGUCAAUGCUGAUCUCAAGGAAAAUCCAUUGGGCAAGAACCUUGUAAGUCUAAAGGACACAUCAGCUACAGCAGUGUUACAGAACGAUGGUUCCUUUUACUGUACUCCAGAAACGCUGUUUCAGGGUCUUGAGUUACCUGGGAUCAACUACAAAUACAAUGGAAAGAAGUACAGAUAUUUCUAUGGCUCUGUGAUGGACUGGUCACCAAUAUCAAAUAAGAUUGCAAAAGUAGACACAGUUACCAAAACACACCUGGAAUGGGCAGAAGAGGAUUGCUACCCAUCUGAACCCAAGUUUGUGGCAUCACCUGAUGCUGUGGAUGAGGAUGAUGGUGUUAUCUUAUCAUCUGUUGUCUCAGUCAAUCCCCAAAAGUCACCCUUCAUGCUGGUGUUGGAUGCGAAGACCUUGAAAGAGAUCGCUCGUGCUUCAGUUAACACAUUUGUUCACUUGGACCUGCAUGGAGUUUUCAUUCCACAGGAAUCUGAACAGCAAUAGAAGCAAAUAACGUUCCUUCAAAAUGCUUAAUUAAUCAUGCUGCUUACUUUAUCAGCCUAUGGGCAAAGUGCAGUUUAAACUGAAACAUCUGCAAAGAACAUAUACACAGUGUGAACUGAAGCUAGUCUGAAGAGCAAGAAUCCAGUCAGACGAGGAAGAGAUGCAGUAUGAUUAUG